GGACCUGCGGUGCAUUAGCUAGUUGGUAAGGUAACGGCUUACCAAGGCAAUGAUGCAUAGCCGAGUUGAGAGACUGAUCGGCCACAUUGGGACUGAGACACGGCCCAAACUCCUACGGGAGGCAGCAGUAGGGAAUCUUCCACAAUGGACUAAAGUCUGAUGGAGCAACGCCGCGUGAGUGAAGAAGUAUUUCGGUAUGUAAAGCUCUAUCAGCAGGGAAGAAAGAAAUGACGGUACCUGAGUAAGAAGCCCCGGCUAACUACGUGCCAGCAGCCGCGGUAAUACGUAGGGGGCAAGCGUUAUCCGGAAUUACUGGGUGUAAAGGGAGCGUAGACGGUAAAGCAAGUCUGGAGUGAAAGGCUGGGGCCCAACCCCGGGACUGCUCUGGAAACUGUUAAACUGGAGUGCAGGAGAGGCAGGCGGAAUUCCUAGUGUAGCGGUGAAAUGCGUAGAUAUUAGGAGGAACACCAGUGGCGAAGGCGGCCUGCUGGACUGUAACUGACGUUGAGGCUCGAAAGCGUGGGGAGCAAACAGGAUUAGAUACCCUGGUAGUCCACGCCGUAAACGAUGAUUACUAGGUGUAGGUGGGUAUGGACCCAUCGGUGCCGCAGCCAACGCAGUAAGUAAUCCACCUGGGGAGUACGUUCGCAAGAAUGAAACUCAAAGGAAUUGACGG
RNAcentral lists this ribosomal RNA (676 nucleotides) under uncultured bacterium. Its description in RNAcentral is "bacterial SSU rRNA". It matches the Rfam family "Bacterial small subunit ribosomal RNA", at positions 227 to 916 of the family's 1533-position model. The record is from RNAcentral.